RNAcentral lists this signal recognition particle RNA (117 nucleotides) under Gorilla gorilla gorilla (western lowland gorilla). RNAcentral's name for it is "Metazoan signal recognition particle RNA". It matches the Rfam family "Metazoan signal recognition particle RNA". Rfam says of the family: The signal recognition particle (SRP) is a universally conserved ribonucleoprotein. It is involved in the co-translational targeting of proteins to membranes. Lineage: Eukaryota; Metazoa; Chordata; Mammalia; Primates; Hominidae. The record is from Rfam by way of RNAcentral.
GCUGGGCGUGGUGGCUCACGCCUGUAAUCCCAGCACUUUGGGAGGCCGAGGUGGGUGGAUCACCUGAGGUCAGGAGUUCAAGACCAGCCUGGCCAACAUGGUGAAACCCCAUCUCUA